GAUGAACGCUGGCGGCGUGCCUAAUACAUGCAAGUCGAGCGAACGGACGAGAAGCUUGCUUCUCUGAUGUUAGCGGCGGACGGGUGAGUAACACGUGGAUAACCUACCUAUAAGACUGGGAUAACUUCGGGAAACCGGAGCUAAUACCGGAUGAUAUUUUGAACCGCAUGGUUCAAAAGUGAAAGACGGUCUUGCUGUCACUUAUAGAUGGAUCCGCGCUGCAUUAGCUAGUUGGUAAGGUAACGGCUUACCAAGGCAACGAUGCAUAGCCGACCUGAGAGGGUGAUCGGCCACACUGGAACUGAGACACGGUCCAGACUCCUACGGGAGUCAGCAGUAGGGAAUCUUCCGCAAUGGGCGAAAGCCUGACGGAGCAACGCCGCGUGAGUGAUGAAGGUCUUCGGAUCGUAAAACUCUGUUAUUAGGGAAGAACAUAUGUGUAAGUAACUGUGCACAUCGUGACGGUACCUAAUCAGAAAGCCACGGCUAACUACGUG
This 497-nucleotide ribosomal RNA is filed under the name uncultured bacterium. RNAcentral describes it as "partial 16S ribosomal RNA". It matches the Rfam family "Bacterial small subunit ribosomal RNA", at positions 28 to 507 of the family's 1533-position model. The record is from RNAcentral.